GAUGAACGCUGGCUACAGGCUUAACACAUGCAAGUCGAGGGGCAGCGAGAAGGAAGCUUGCUUUCUUUGUCGGCGACCGGCGCACGGGUGAGUAACGCGUAUCCAACCUUCCCCUUAGUAGGGCAUAGCCCGGCGAAAGUCGGAUUAAUACCCUAUGUAUUCCUUUGAGAGCAUUUGAUUGGGAACAAAGAUUUAUCGCUAAGGGAUGGGGAUGCGUCUGAUUAGCUUGUUGGCGGGGUAACGGCCCACCAAGGCGACGAUCAGUAGGGGUUCUGAGAGGAAGGUCCCCCACACUGGUACUGAGACACGGACCAGACUCC
This 320-nucleotide ribosomal RNA is filed under the name uncultured Prevotella sp. Its description in RNAcentral is "bacterial SSU rRNA". It matches the Rfam family "Bacterial small subunit ribosomal RNA", at positions 28 to 339 of the family's 1533-position model. The record is from RNAcentral. Lineage: Bacteria; Pseudomonadati; Bacteroidota; Bacteroidia; Bacteroidales; Prevotellaceae.